Molecule: long non-coding RNA, 224 nt
Filed under: Mytilus galloprovincialis (Mediterranean mussel)
Lineage: Eukaryota; Metazoa; Mollusca; Bivalvia; Mytilida; Mytilidae
Source: RNAcentral
CUCAUUUGAAAUUUCAUAAAUAAAAAAGAAAAUUUCUUCAAACAUUUUUUUGAGAGGAUUAAUAUUCAACAGCAUAGUGAAUUGCUCUAAGAGAAAACAAAAAUUUUAAGUUCAUUAGAACACAUUCAUUCUGUGUCAGAAACCUAUGCUGUGUCAACUAUUUAAUCACAAUCCAAAUUUAGAGCUGAAUCCAGCGUGAAUGUUGUGUCCAUACUUGCCCCAAC